ACUCCUACGGGAGGCAGCAGUGGGGAAUAUUGGACAAUGGGCGAAAGCCUGAUCCAGCAAUACCGCGUAUGUGAAGAAGGCCUUCGGGUUGUAAAGCACUUUCAAUUGGGAGGAAAACCUACCGGUCAAUACCCGGUAGCUUGACGUUACCUUUAGAAGAAAGCACCGGCUAACUACGUGCCAGCAGCCGCGGUAAUACGGAGGGGGCAAGCGUUAUUCGGAAUUACUGGGCGUAAAGCGUGCGUAGGCGGUUGUUUAAGUCAGAUGUGAAAGCCCCGGGCUCAACCUGGGAACUGCAUUUGAAACUGGCGGACUAGAGUUUAGUAGAGGGGAGUGGAAUUUCAGGUGUAGCGGUGAAAUGCGUAGAUAUCUGAAGGAACACCAGUGGCGAAGGCGGCUCUCUGGACUAGAACUGACGCUGAGGUACGAAAGCGUGGGUAGCAAACAGGAUUAGAUACCCUGGUAGUCCACGCCGUAAACUAUGUCAACUAGCUGUUGGUGGUAUUUACACGUUCAGUGCCGCAGCUAACGCAUUAAGUUGACCGCCUGGGGAGUACGGCCGCAAGGUUAAAACUCAAAGAA
RNAcentral lists this ribosomal RNA (582 nucleotides) under uncultured bacterium. RNAcentral's name for it is "bacterial SSU rRNA". It matches the Rfam family "Bacterial small subunit ribosomal RNA", at positions 335 to 908 of the family's 1533-position model. The record is from RNAcentral.